This 372-nucleotide ribosomal RNA is filed under the name Triticum aestivum (bread wheat). RNAcentral's name for it is "partial small subunit ribosomal RNA". The record is from RNAcentral. Lineage: Eukaryota; Viridiplantae; Streptophyta; Magnoliopsida; Poales; Poaceae.
UUUGACAUGACAUUUUUAUAUGUGGCUGCUGGAUGGGAAGGUUCUGCAUCGGAUCAGGCCAUUUUACGGUGGGCUGUUACAGAUGGUGGCUUUGUUGUUCCAGAAGGUAAAUUUUAUCUCGUUGACUCGGGCUACGCAAAUACUCCAAGAUUUAUUGCCCCCUACCGUGGAGAUCGCUAUCACAUUGGUUCUUUUCGUGGAACUAAUCGUCGGUAUAGUAGUGAGAAGGAUCUGUUCAACCAUCUACAUGCACAACUACGGAAUGUUGUAGAACGCACUUUUGGUGUUCUAAAAGCUCGAUUUCCAAUAUUAACAAGGAAUGGAGGAAUCCCUUAUCCUUACAAAAAACAUGUCCAAAUUGUUAUGGCUUGU